GGAGGCGCUCAAAGGUUCCCUCAGAAUGGUUGGAAAUCAUUCAUAGAGUGUAAAGGCAUAAGGGAGCUUGACUGCGAGACCUACAAGUCGAGCAUCUGGAAAGAUGAAUCAAAGAAGGUAAUAAUCCUGUAGUCGAAAAUGUUGUCUCUCUUGAGUGGAUCCUGAGUACGACGGAGCACGUGAAAUUCCGUCGGAAUCUGGGAGGACCAUCUCCUAAGGCUAAAUACUCUCUAGUGACCGAUAGUGAACCAGUACCGUGAGGGAAAGGUGAAAAGCACCCCGGAAGGGGAGUGAAAUAGAACCUGAAACCGUGUGCUUACAAGUAGUCAGAGCCCGUUAAUGGGUGAUGGCGUGCCUUUUGUAGAAUGAACCGGCGAGUUACGAUUUGAUGCAAGGUUAAGCAGUAAAUGUGGAGCCGUAGCGAAAGCGAGUCUGAAUAGGGCGUUUAGUAUUUGGUCGUAGACCCGAAACCAGGUGAUCUACCCUUGGUCAGGUUGAAGUUCAGGUAACACUGAAUGGAGGACCGAACCGACUUACGUUGAAAAGUGAGCGGAUGAACUGAGGGUAGCGGAGAAAUUCCAAUCGAACCUGGAGAUAGCUGGUUCUCUCCGAAAUAGCUUUAGGGCUAGCCUCAAGUGAUGAUUAUUGGAGGUAGAGCACUGUUUGGACGAGGGGCCCCUCUCGGGUUACCGAAUUCAGACAAACUCCGAAUGCCAAUUAAUUUAACUUGGGAGUCAGAACAUGGGUGAUAAGGUCCGUGUUCGAAAGGGAAACAGCCCAGACCACCAGCUAAGGUCCCAAAAUAUAUGUUAAGUGGAAAAGGAUGUGGCGUUGCCCAGACAACUAGGAUGUUGGCUUAGAAGCAGCCAUCAUUUAAAGAGUGCGUAAUAGCUCACUAGUCGAGUGACACUGCGCCGAAAAUGUACCGGGGCUAAACAUAUUACCGAAGCUGUGGAUUGUCCUUUGGACAAUGGUAGGAGAGCGUUCUAAGGGCGUUGAAGCAUGAUCGUAAGGACAUGUGGAGCGCUUAGAAGUGAGAAUGCCGGUGUGAGUAGCGAAAGACGGGUGAGAAUCCCGUCCACCGAUUGACUAAGGUUUCCAGAGGAAGGCUCGUCCGCUCUGGGUUAGUCGGGUCCUAAGCUGAGGCCGACAGGCGUAGGCGAUGGAUAACAGGUUGAUAUUCCUGUACCACCUAUAAUCGUUUUAAUCGAUGGGGGGACGCAGUAGGAUAGGCGAAGCGUGCGAUUGGAUUGCACGUCUAAGCAGUAAGGCUGAGUAUUAGGCAAAUCCGGUACUCGUUAAGGCUGAGCUGUGAUGGGGAGAAGACAUUGUGUCUUCGAGUCGUUGAUUUCACACUGCCGAGAAAAGCCUCUAGAUAGAAAAUAGGUGCCCGUACCGCAAACCGACACAGGUAGUCAAGAUGAGAAUUCUAAGGUGAGCGAGCGAACUCUCGUUAAGGAACUCGGCAAAAUGACCCCGUAACUUCGGGAGAAGGGGUGCUCUUUAGGGUUAACGCCCAGAAGAGCCGCAGUGAAUAGGCCCAAGCGACUGUUUAUCAAAAACACAGGUCUCUGCUAAACCGUAAGGUGAUGUAUAGGGGCUGACGCCUGCCCGGUGCUGGAAGGUUAAGAGGAGUGGUUAGCUUCUGCGAAGCUACGAAUCGAAGCCCCAGUAAACGGCGGCCGUAACUAUAACGGUCCUAAGGUAGCGAAAUUCCUUGUCGGGUAAGUUCCGACCCGCACGAAAGGCGUAACGAUUUGGGCACUGUCUCAACGAGAGACUCGGUGAAAUCAUAGUACCUGUGAAGAUGCAGGUUACCCGCGACAGGACGGAAAGACCCCGUGGAGCUUUACUGUAGCCUGAUAUUGAAAUUCGGCACAGCUUGUACAGGAUAGGUAGGAGCCUUUGAAACGUGAGCGCUAGCUUACGUGGAGGCGCUGGUGGGAUACUACCCUAGCUGUGUUGGCUUUCUAACCCGCACCACUUAUCGUGGUGGGAGACAGUGUCAGGCGGGCAGUUUGACUGGGGCGGUCGCCUCCUAAAAGGUAACGGAGGCGCUCAAAGGUUCCCUCAGAAUGGUUGGAAAUCAUUCAUAGAGUGUAAAGGCAUAAGGGAGCUUGACUGCGAGACCUACAAGUCGAGCAGGGUCGAAAGACGGACUUAGUGAUCCGGUGGUUCCGCAUGGAAGGGCCAUCGCUCAACGGAUAAAAGCUACCCCGGGGAUAACAGGCUUAUCUCCCCCAAGAGUUCACAUCGACGGGGAGGUUUGGCACCUCGAUGUCGGCUCAUCGCAUCCUGGGGCUGUAGUCGGUCCCAAGGGUUGGGCUGUUCGCCCAUUAAAGCGGUACGCGAGCUGGGUUCAGAACGUCGUGAGACAGUUCGGUCCCUAUCCGUCGUGGGCGUAGGAAAUUUGAGAGGAGCUGUCCUUAGUACGAGAGGACCGGGAUGGACAUACCUCUGGUGUACCAGUUGUCGUGCCAACGGCAUAGCUGGGUAGCUAUGUGUGGACGGGAUAAGUGCUGAAAGCAUCUAAGCAUGAAGCCCCCCUCAAGAUGAGAUUUCCCAACUUCGGUUAUAAGAUCCCUCAAAGAUGAUGAGGUUAAUAGGUUCGAGGUGGAAGCAUGGUGACAUGUGGAGCUGACGAAUACUAAUCGAUCGAAGACUUAAUCAA
Molecule: ribosomal RNA, 2671 nt
Filed under: Staphylococcus aureus M1533
Lineage: Bacteria; Bacillati; Bacillota; Bacilli; Caryophanales; Staphylococcaceae
Description: bacterial LSU rRNA
Rfam family: Bacterial large subunit ribosomal RNA
Source: RNAcentral